Molecule: long non-coding RNA, 2002 nt
Organism: Apteryx rowi (Okarito brown kiwi)
Lineage: Eukaryota; Metazoa; Chordata; Aves; Apterygiformes; Apterygidae
Source: Ensembl
GCGCAAGGCUGGGGCGGCGGCCGGGCGUCCCGGCGUGAUGUGCUCGGGGUGGCGUGUUUCGCCGCAGCGAUGCUGAGCCUCGGCGCGCAGGAGGGAGCCUGCCGCUGCCCCGGAGCAGAGCAAGCGCUGCCAGCGCUGGCUGCGGUCUCUGCCCCGCGGGGACGGGGCUCGGGGCUCCCGCGGCAGGGCCGGGGGGAGAGCUGCUCCUGGGGCCGCUGCCUCCCAYCGCGAGGGGUUUGCCGUGUCCCGGCAUCGCUGCUGGCCCCGCGCGCCCAGCCGCUUCCCGCUGGGGACCCGGCUUCCCCGUCCCCGGCCGGGGAGGAGGAGGGGGGGGGAAGCGCCACCCUUCACACUGGCUUUGCACCGCGCAGACCCCUCCGGCAGGGAGCGGGGUCCUCAUCGGCGCCGGGGCAGCUGGCGUGGGGUGCGGGAACCCACGUCCCCCACGCGCUGCCGCCGUCCCGGCCUCUGCCUCUCCCGGCUCCGGCCCAGCCUCCUCGGGAGAUGCUCCCCUGGUCCUACGUUGGUUCUGGUCUCACUGCCGCUCCCCUCUUUUUAAAGCGAGGUACUUAAAGCAGUGAUGCUUUCAAAGCUGAUCUGCCAAGGCUUUAACUCGUUAAGCGGAUCUUUUUUUAAAUGUUAGACUCCCACGGGAAGAAGGCUGGUUGUGUUUCCCUUUCACCCGAGGAAAACUGCGGCACUCCGUCCACAAGGCAGGGAGGGAGCACGGUCGCGCCCUGGCGAGAGGAGCGGGGUCAGGGCGGCCCCAGCCCGCUCCCGGUCCUGCCACCGACCGGCUGGGUGACCCUGGGCAAGUCGCUUUGCCUCUCUGUGCCUCAGUUUCCCCACCUGUAAAAUGGGGAUAAUAAUACUGCUCUACCUCGCAGGGGGUGUUGUGAGGCUUCCUUGGCUAACAUUUGUACAGUGCUUUGAGAUCCUUGGACGAGGGUGCUGCAGGUGCAAAGCCGGAGGGUCUUUACUGAGGGCACGCGCUGCUGGGAUUCGGGAGCGCCAGAGCCGUGUGGGGAACCGCCUGAGCCGGGUUUCUCGGGGAGGUGAUUUGUUCCCUGUUUCGCCUGUGUUGUGGGUAUGUGCCAGUGCCGCCACGGGACAGGCUGCAAGGCGCCCGGCAGGUUUCCUUGGCUGCUGGGUAAACAGGAAGGUGGGAGUCAGGCCCCCGGGAUCCCGGUCUUGUCUCUGCCCUAGGGACCUGUGGGACCCUUGGGCAAAUCACUCGACUCCUCUGUGCUUUGGUUUCCCCAUCUGUCGCAUGGGGACAGCAAACCUGAGCUACCUCGCAGGAGCUGUGAGGCUCCCGGCAUGGCUGCGCGAAGUGCUCCGCGCUCCUUGGGUGAAAGGCGCUCUGUAAAUGCCAGGUAUCAUUAACGUCCAUCAUCGCUCACGAGAGUCUGGGCAGGAAGACGCGAGCCCCCCCAGUGAGACCGCCAGCCCAUCCUUGCAGAAGACCUCCCAGGGGAGAGGGCAGUGAGGGGAGGAAGGGAUUUUUUUUUUCCAAGAACUAUUUUUAGCUGUCCUAACCUGCCAGCCUUUUCUAGACGGUAUCUGGACCCAGCUCCACUUACCACAGGAUAUGCAAUGCUGUACUAUGCAUGGGUUAUUCCUCUGGCUUGAAGGAAGAAAAGUCAACAUAACCWGUUUUGGAAAUGUAACUGUCCGUAGGCAUGUGUGAGUGGGUGUUGCAGGCAGCGCUGUGGGGAAGGGGCUGGCUCGGGAGCUCGCGCCGCUCCGGCGGGGUCCCUGCCGUCCCCGGGGCUUCCCGCGGCAUGCUGGGGGACGGCACUGCUGGAAGUGUGUGGUGUGGUGUGGUGUGGUGUGACCGGCACAGGUGCGUGUAGGCGUGUGGAAAUAGAUGUAGGAGAUACCUGCGAGUACACACAGGGUGCGUGCAACACGCUGUGUUAUGACUUGCAACACAUUUUGCACUGUAGAGUUUUAGCUAGCUUUGCCUUGAAUGAAAUAAACUUUAUGUUUACUAGAGAAA